CACAUCCAUACGGAAUUUGGCUACAGUCAAACCGCAAGUCUCUGGGAAAUUAUCAGAUAGCCCACUGAUCCACUGUUGCAUGGAUGGCCAUCGCCCACUCAGUUAUGAUUAUGGAAAAGAAAAAGAAAAAAGGAUGCCUACUAUAGACCCUGAGCACUGGGACAUUGAUGCAAAUGAUUAAUUCAAGAGGCAGGGACUGUCAGGGGCUGAAAUCUUACCUGGAAGCUGAAGUGAC
This 235-nucleotide long non-coding RNA is filed under the name Sus scrofa (pig). RNAcentral's name for it is "lncRNA (ENSSSCG00070014320.1)". Lineage: Eukaryota; Metazoa; Chordata; Mammalia; Artiodactyla; Suidae. The record is from RNAcentral.